CAUGGUGAUGGCCGCAGGCUUCAAACUUGCGGCGGCC
This 37-nucleotide transfer RNA is filed under the name Scrippsiella hangoei. RNAcentral describes it as "partial Selenocysteine transfer RNA". The record is from RNAcentral. Lineage: Eukaryota; Dinophyceae; Peridiniales; Peridiniaceae.